Molecule: long non-coding RNA, 200 nt
Filed under: Lathyrus oleraceus (garden pea)
Lineage: Eukaryota; Viridiplantae; Streptophyta; Magnoliopsida; Fabales; Fabaceae
Description: Pisum sativum (pea) long non-coding RNA (PSAT_LNC011453)
Source: RNAcentral
UUUAGUGUAGUGGGUUCGAUACCCCUAUGUGUAGUUUUUUCUUUUAACAUUUUCUUUAUGUUUAUGCUUUAUUACUCAUAGUUUUUUAUUAUUGUUUAAUAAUAUAGAUUUGUUUUUCUUUUAAUUGCAUCAUGUGCUCGAAACCAUUUGAAAACUAUAAAAAUCAUACUUUUUCUCGAUUUAAUAUCGAGCCCAUUUUC